GAUGAAGAACGUAGCGAAAUGCGAUAAGUAAUGUGAAUUGCAGAAUUCAGUGAAUCAUCGAAUCUUUGAACGCACAUUGCGCCCGCCAGCAUUCUGGCGGGCAUGCCUGUUCGAGCGUCAUUUCAACCCUCGAGCCCCCCCGGGGGCCUCGGUGUUGGGGGACGGCACACCAGCCGCCCCCGAAAUGCAGUGGCGACCCCGCCGCAGCCUCCCCUGCGUAGUAGCAAACACCUCGCACCGGAGCGCGGAGGCGGUCACGCCGUAAAACGCCCAACUUUCUUAAAGUUGACCUCGGAUCAGGUAGGAAUACCCGCUGAACUUAAGCAUAUCAAUAAGCGGAGGA
RNAcentral lists this unclassified non-coding RNA (343 nucleotides) under soil metagenome. Its description in RNAcentral is "partial contains 5.8S ribosomal RNA, internal transcribed spacer 2, and large subunit ribosomal RNA". The stretch from base 1 to 120 matches the Rfam family "5.8S ribosomal RNA", at positions 35 to 154 of the family's 154-position model. The record is from RNAcentral.